UUCUAGCCCCGAUGGAAACGGCAUCCUUUUUUUUUGCAUUGGCUUGAAAAAAGCGUAGGCAAAAAAAGAUACAGUAGACAGCGGGAUUAAGC
RNAcentral lists this small RNA (92 nucleotides) under Chryseobacterium sp. Leaf180. RNAcentral describes it as "Flavo-1 RNA". It matches the Rfam family "Flavo-1 RNA". Lineage: Bacteria; Pseudomonadati; Bacteroidota; Flavobacteriia; Flavobacteriales; Weeksellaceae. The record is from Rfam by way of RNAcentral.